Molecule: ribosomal RNA, 253 nt
Filed under: uncultured bacterium
Lineage: Bacteria
Description: partial 16S ribosomal RNA
Rfam family: Bacterial small subunit ribosomal RNA
Source: RNAcentral
UACGAAGGGUGCAAGCGUUACUCGGAAUUACUGGGCGUAAAGCGUGCGUAGGUGGUUCGUUAAGUCUGAUGUGAAAGCCCUGGGCUCAACCUGGGAAUGGCAUUGGAUACUGGCGACCUAGAGUGCGGUAGAGGGGUGUGGAAUUCCCGGUGUAGCAGUGAAAUGCGUAGAUAUCGGGAGGAACAUCUGUGGCGAAGGCGACACCCUGGACCAGCACUGACACUGAGGCACGAAAGCUAGGGGAGCAAACGGG